This 2236-nucleotide long non-coding RNA is filed under the name Marmota monax (woodchuck). The record is from RNAcentral. Lineage: Eukaryota; Metazoa; Chordata; Mammalia; Rodentia; Sciuridae.
AUUUGAACUCAGAAAAUCUGAUUAUGAAUAGGUCCUUAAAAAAUAUGUUUUCUGCUUUUUAUGGAAGGCACAGAACAUCUUUUUAGGGGUCUAUAGGCAUUGGUUGUGGGGAGGGGACAUUUCUAUGUCACUCCUAAGGAAUGCCGGGUCCUGGAAGCUGUGUCCAUCAUUUCAGGGGAUGUUUUGUCCACACAAAGUAUCAGGGCAGAGAUAAGACUUCUGUGUAGAGGCGGAUGGGCAGCAGCCAAUGGACACUUCAGGUUGACUUCUGCUGCCCACAUAUAAGGUUGACAGAGGUGGCCAUUUGGAGGAGUACAAAUGAAAUAUAGGACUGUUAAGGCAGAGGAUACACCUUCUCAGGGGAGCAUCUGGACCAGAUGGGUACACUAGUUUUCCCUGGGAGUGUCAACAGCACUGUGCCAUCUGGUAAUCACCCUCUAAGACCAGAGAUGCAGCUCAAAUUCAGCUCCAGUUCUUUGUCACUAGUAGUAUACAAGAUAUAUAUCCCAUAUAUGUACAACCCAUAUAUGUAUAUUUGAAUGUUAUGCCCCAUUCAAAUUCUCCCAAGGCUGAGGAGGUUGGGUGUCCCACAUCAUCUUCCCUUAUAGUUUUAGAAUCCAGGGUGGGGAGGAAUCCAUUGUGAGACAAAUGUGAAUAUUCACACCCUGUUGAGCUUUAAUUUUCUUUUCUUUUCCAAAAGACAAGGGCACAUAAAAACUCUGGCUUUCUUUGGGUGUUUUAAGGCAACUUUUCCUGCUAGAAUCUUGAGCUGUGCUCCUUGAAUAAUGCUUUCAGGGACACACAGUUCUUUCCUGCCAGCCCUUUCAGAAGCACACAGAAUGGAGCAUUUCUUUAAUUUCACUGCAGAAUGUAAUUAUUGUUCAGACCCAUUGCAGAUACAUCUGGCACUCAUUUUCUCUUCUCAUCCUCCCUCAUUAAAGCAUGUUACAAAAUAAAAGCAUUGGCAAGAGUGGGAAGAAAAACAUCCUGGAGCCCAGAGUAAGCCUCUCUUCAUUACAAAUGUGUCAGCAGUCCUAGGAGAGCCCAAGAGGCAUUGGCUGGGAUACUGGGACUGGGGAAUCAGGCUGCAAAGGGACCUAAAGCUUUCCCCAUUGAGGGUGGUGAAUGUUGAGUCAACUCAUCUGGCUCAGCUGGUCUUGACUUCCAGUGAAACCAACCAGCACAUUUGGACCUGAAAGAACACCAGGUCAUGUAUCCCAUAAGGUUGAACCAAUAGUGGACCUAAACAGCAUGAAAUAGCUAAAUACUCCAAGGGCACCUCAGUCCCUUUCUCUGUAGCCAAAACCCACAACAAAAUGUAGAGAGCUAAGAUCAAAACAGAAUAUAGAGAGCUAAAAUCAACAACAAUACCAAGUGUUGGCAAUGAUAAAGAGCAAAUGGUACAUUAAUCCUGGGAAUGAAAAAUGGAAUAACCAUUUAAGAAAACAGCUUGGCAAUAUUUAAUAAUGUUAAAACACACACACACACACACUCCCUCUGUCUGUCUAUCUAUCUAUCUAUAUCAGACAACCACACACAAAUAGUUCCAUUCUUAGGUGUUUCCUCAAGAGCAAUGAAAACACAUAUCUACACAUAGAAUUAUACAUAAAAGUUUACAGCAGCUUUAAUCAAAAUAGCUCCAAACUAUGAGCAACCCAAGUACCCAUCAGCAGAAGACUUACAUAAAUAAGUGUGGUAUAUAUAUUCAGUGGAAUAUUCUUCAACAUUAAAAAGGAAUGGACUAAUAAACACUGGUGAAUAAAUUUUUUUAAAGAGAGAGAGAGUGAGAGAGGGAGAUAUUUUUUAAUAUUUAUUUUUUAGUUUUCAGUGGACACAACAUCUUUAUUUUAUUUUUACGUGGUGCUGAGGAUCGAACCCAACGCACCGUGCAUGCCAGGCGAGUGCGCUACUGCUUGAGCCACAUCCCCAGCCCAAUUUUUAUUUAAAUAUUUUAUUUGGUUUUUAUUUUAGUUAUAUGUGACAGUAAAAUGUAUUUUGACAUACCAUACAUACAUAGAGUACGACUUCCCAUUUUUGUUGUUGUACAUGAUAUGGAGCUACCCUGGUUGUGUAUUCAUAUAUGAACAUUGGAACGUUACGUCCAGUUCAUUCUACUGUCUUUCCCAUUCCCAUCCCUGCUCCCUUCCCCCAACUCCCUCCUGUCCAAUAUGGUCAUGGUAUAUGGAUUUUGGAAUAUUAUGUUAAAUAAAAAAUACAAACACAAAAGACUAUGUGA